This is a long non-coding RNA of Manduca sexta (tobacco hornworm), 717 nucleotides long. RefSeq lists it as uncharacterized. The transcript has 2 exons. NCBI's taxonomy places the organism in Eukaryota, Metazoa, Arthropoda, Insecta, Lepidoptera, Sphingidae. The record is from RefSeq and is a predicted model, not a curated record.
AAAAACAAUAUUAUCUUACUGGAAAUUGCACGCGUGUGGUUUUUUGAAAAAUGUUGAUAUCUCCACUGCCUGUAGAUAUCACAACGCUGCCUUUUCGGUCUUCGCCAAAUUCCCAGAUGGCGGCCCAUCCUCCCCCGAUGCACAAAACUAUACAAAGUAAAACAAGCUGACCCAUCCUGGCCGAAGCCGAGUCAAAACUAUAAUUUUUUUGUCUCAACUUUACCUAUUUUUAUACAUCGGUAUUGAAUCAAUUAAUCGGUUUGUUAUUUUACACACUCAAUUAAAGUUGUGAAAUUAUUUUCUUCUGUUUAUUCAUUAGUUAUGCUAAUAAAACCUAAUAUAUUUUUGUAAUCAAAAGAAGCGACAAGCACAAGACAUGUAUAUAAAACAAUAAUUACAUUCGCUUAUGAACAUAUUUAAAGAGAAGCAUUAGAUCGAGUAAAUUAUAAAUUAUAUUCGCCCAGAUUGCGACCCGUAAGAGUGUCGCGUUCCGGAGGCAAAUGUUUCAGAAGUAAACGCCGAAACAGCUGAACGGAUUUUGAUGAAAUUUGGCACACAGGUGCAAUAAGUUAACAAAGUCUGCGCGGUGCUUUAAGAACAGAUAGCAAGCGUGUGAUAAUAAAAAACAAAACUGCUUUAAAUAUUUUGUAAUUCCGAACAACAAGAACGAACACUAAAUAAUUUCCAAUUAAAAUUAAAAAAUAAAACUACUAUAAA